GCGCGGAGUUCACAUUACCCGGUAUCCUCCCCGAGAACCUAUUCUCCCCUAAAUUAAUUCUGAUUAAAUUCGGAAGCGUAAAUAAAAACGACGGAAUCUCGCCGGAGAAGGCGUUGCCUUGGAGAUACAAGUAACGGAGGAGGACGAGGUUGGAGAAGUCGGACGGGAUCGGACCGGAGAGGGAGUUGAACCGGAGGGAGAGAGUCUGGAGCUGAGUCAAGUUCCCGAUUGAUCCGAGUGGUAAGGAUCCGAAUAUGCCGGUUCCGGGUAACCGGAGGGAAGUGACCCGACCCGCGACGCAGUUGACUCCGUGCCAGCUGCAAGGAGAGGAGGCGGUCGUGUUCCAUAGGAGCGUACGGCCGCGGACGCUGCUGCGGAGGGUGAGUAAGGCUCGACGGUCGGAGUCGAGAUCGGAAGUAACCGCCGCGAGGUAGAGGAGGAAGAUGAGGGAGAGGAAGGAGAUGGAUCGGUUCAUCUUCCUCUCUGAGUUGUGUUUUUAAUUAUUGGUGCUUCUUUGUUUUGUUUUUUUUUUCGGUGAAUAUAUUUUGGAUUUUGAGAGAUUUUUUGGGAUUUUGUACCUUUUUGGGUAACGCGUAAAGAAGAGUAUGAACAGAGAGAGAGAGGAGACGGAUGGUGGAAUUCAAGAAGAGGCUUUUCACAUUAGUUUCAGCUCUAUCUCUCUAGAACCGGCCACAGAAAAAAGAAAGAUAUCAUAAUGGUACAAGAAGAAGAAGAAGAUGGAGAAUUUUUCAUUUCUGACAAUAAAUUAAAUGAAAAUCUUGAACCAUAUAGGUUGAAAUUUUCUUUUUAGUAUUUUUUGACAGGCUCUCAUAGUAUAAAUGAUCUAAUAUUUUAGUAGAUUUAAUAUUUUAAUUAUAAAUUUAAAAUAAUAUUUAAACAUGGUAAUGUUAAUGCUGAUGAGUUUUUCUAAAGAGUAAGUAUCUCAAGGUCAUGAAUAGUUGUAACGAUAAAUAUGACAGCUAUGUUAUAGAAAUAACUAAAUCUUCAAAAAAUCUAAUAACAAGGUCAUGAAUAGUUGUAACGAUCAAAAUAUAGUCAACUAGACAUCGCAUUACAUGAAUGGUGGUAAUAAAUACCUUUUUUAAUCAUAAUUACUACGGGCUGCAGUGAUGUUUCGUAGACGUUUAAAAGUUAAUCAACAACUGUUUUUCGAAAGUUGUUUGUGUUGUUCAGGUUAGUGUGACCAAAAACAAAGCUAGAUUUGUGAAUUUAAGUCUUAGGCAAACCGUUGACAAAAAAGAACCCAAUACAAUAGUGUCGAGCCACCGUUUUUAAUUAUUUUAUGAAAUUUGUCAGCUAAUUUUUUUUCUAAACAAUCCUAUCCGUGGCAUUGACCAUUUCGGAAAUAGAAAUGGUCAUCAUAAAGCUAACUAGUGGUUGGUGUAGACUAGUAUAUAGAAUGUUGGACUUUGAAAAUUUCAAUGGUUGGAAAUUCUUGUUUGCCAAAUCGAUUAUAUUUUCAACCCUGGUUACCUCAUAUGUUUGAUACCACUUAUUUGGAAAACGUAUAAAAUACACUUGCAUGUUAUUACUUUCUUGAGUGUAGUAUCAAACAAAACAACAUGUGAUUAGUUAAGUUGGUCACAUGAAAUCUUCUUCAAAAAUUUCAUGUUGCAAUAUGUUUAUUUCUUAGACAAUAGAGACAUACAAUUUUGACUUUGAAUAUACAGUAAGUUGUGUCAAGUCGUUAUUGCAUGGAUAAGUUUAAGGCCACUAUAUAACGAGAGAACGAACUAGGCCCAAUCUUUAUGUAUUAAAUAUGACUUCGCAUACGAGCAUUGUUAACAACUUAGAAAUAAUUGAAAGUGGAAUAUGAAAAUCUAACGCUGAACCGGUAAUAAGAAGGAAGAUUUCUAAACCAGAUCUUAACCGGUUAUACAUUUAUCAAAUUAUUCACCUGAUCCACCAAAAGAAUAUUACAACAAUGGCUAUCAGAUCAAGAUCAGUUGUGUAAUCACCUCCUCUAUACAUUAUUAUUAAUAUAAAUGCUUCAGAUUAAAACGUAAAAAAAAACGAGAAUUUACAGAUUUCUCUAUGAAAAAUCAAAGCUUGUUUUAAGCUCUCUUCUUCACUCACUGCUGCUGUGUAUCAAUGGGAGUGUCUUGACCAGAGGUUGUUGUUGUUGCUUGUCUUGUUUCAGACACUGAGACUCUUCUGGAAUGUCCACCUGAUGUUUCCACAACCUCGUCCGUCUCUGAAGCUGUGUUGUCGUACGCGAAUACUUCCAUUGGGUGAUUAAAUUUACAGCUUGGACCAAACUUGCAGAUCCCAUAGCGACUAUAGAACACACACACCGGUUCUCCCUAUAUCCAAAACAAAACAAAAAAACCUAUUAGAACCAACCAAAUUCAAUUGAACAUGCUUUUUGUUGAGCAGCUUACAGGGCGUAAAGGGAGGCCAAUGGGACUCAAGAGACAAUCAGGAGAAGGAGGUUGUCUAUCUCUAGGAUGAUGAAACUUGCAAACUGUGCCAAACUUGCAGUCUCCUGUCUUCAUGUAGAACUGGCAUUCAGGUUGUCCUGGUCUCUCCGGGAAAACAUUCUCACUAGUAGGGAUGUUAACAUGGGUAGUUACCCAUGGGUUUACCCAAACCCAGAUUAGGAUGACUCAUCGAUCCCAAAACCUGCAUCCUCUCUCUAAAAUCUUUCUCAGGCACCACAACGUCUCUCAACCGCUUCACAGCAACCACCAAACCAUGAUCAAAGCUCGCCUUAUACGAAGACCCAACAGAUCCUUUCCCAAGAACCUCAGCCGAAGCCUUCAACAACCCGUCCAAAUCGAAUUCCCCGAAAGACUUCACGAAAAAGAUCAAAUCUUUACUCACCACACCGCUCUCCGCCGCCGCCGCCGUUUCCUUCGGUAUAACUACGGCGGUGGAGGAAGUCGUAGCGGCGGCGACGGGAGCUGCUUCGACGUUUCUCGGCGGAGCAUUCUCCUCCGUCUUUCUCUUCCUACAGAGACAGAACAGAACCAAGAGAAGCAGUAACAAACCGACAACGCACCCGAUCACAAUUCCGACGAUAGCUCCCGUUGAUAACCCGUCACUGUCUUUAGACGGCGGAGAAACGGCGCAAGACUGUAACGGCUUCCCACAGAGACUGUUCCCUUCGAAAACGGUUACGGGAAAGCCCGACAGCGAAUCCGGAAUCGAACCGUUUAACUGAUUGGAAGAAACAUUAAACUGCUGGAGAGUGAUGCUGAUCUCGGGGAUCGAACCCGUGAGCUGGUUCCUCUCCAAGUAGAGCGUAACCAACCGGGGCGCGGAGUUCACAUUACCCGGUAUCCUCCCCGAGAACCUAUUCUCCCCUAAAUUAAUUCUGAUUAAAUUCGGAAGCGUAAAUAAAAACGACGGAAUCUCGCCGGAGAAGGCGUUGCCUUGGAGAUACAAGUAACGGAGGAGGACGAGGUUGGAGAAGUCGGACGGGAUCGGACCGGAGAGGGAGUUGAACCGGAGGGAGAGAGUCUGGAGCUGAGUCAAGUUCCCGAUUGAUCCGAGUGGUAAGGAUCCGAAUAUGCCGGUUCCGGGUAACCGGAGGGAAGUGACCCGACCCGCGAC
Molecule: long non-coding RNA, 3576 nt
Filed under: Brassica napus (rape)
Lineage: Eukaryota; Viridiplantae; Streptophyta; Magnoliopsida; Brassicales; Brassicaceae
Description: long non-coding RNA (BNAP_LNC024784)
Source: RNAcentral